ACACUUUAAAUAGCCAGCACCUUUCUCUUCCCCUUUGGUUAAUUCUUCUCCCCUGACUGGACCUCAGGCAGCAACUUCACUAAGGUGGAAUGGAUAGCAGAGUCCCAGGCACAAGCAGUAAUGGGGAGACAAAACCAGUGUAUUCAAUCGUGGAAAAGGCGGAGGAAGACGGCACCCUGGAGCGGGGGCACUGGAACAACAAGAUGGAGUUUGUGCUGUCAGUGGCGGGGGAGAUCAUUGGCUUAGGCAACGUCUGGAGGUUUCCCUAUCUCUGCUACAAAAAUGGGGGAGGUGCCUUCUUCAUCCCCUACCUCAUCUUCCUCUUUACCUGUGGCAUUCCUGUCUUCCUUUUGGAAACGGCACUGGGCCAGUACACUAGCCAGGGAGGUGUCACAGCCUGGAGGAAGAUCUGUCCCAUCUUUGAGGGCAUUGGCUACGCCUCCCAGAUGAUUGUUGUCCUCCUCAACUUCUACUACAUCAUUGUUCUGGCCUGGGCCCUCUUCUACCUCUUCAGCAGCUUCACCAUUGACCUUCCCUGGGGCAGCUGCCACCACGAGUGGAAUACAGAACACUGUGUGGAGUUCCAGAAGACCAACAGCUCCCUGAACGUGACCUCCGAGAAUGCCACCUCCCCUGUCAUUGAGUUUUGGGAGCGGCGGGUCCUGAAGAUCUCCGAUGGCAUCCAGCAUGUGGGGGCCCUGCGCUGGGAGCUGGCCCUGUGCCUGCUGCUCGCCUGGGUCAUCUGCUACUUCUGCAUCUGGAAGGGGGUCAAGUCCACCGGCAAGGUGGUAUACUUCACGGCCACGUUCCCUUACCUCAUGCUGGUGGUCCUGUUAAUUCGAGGGGUGACACUGCCUGGAGCAGCCCAAGGAAUUCAGUUUUAUCUGUACCCAAACCUCACGCGUCUGUGGGACCCCCAGGUAUGGAUGGAUGCAGGCACCCAGAUCUUCUUUUCCUUCGCCAUCUGUCUAGGGUGCCUGACGGCCCUGGGCAGCUACAACAAGUACCACAACAACUGCUACAGGGACUGCAUUGCCCUCUGCUUCCUCAACAGCGGCACUAGCUUUGUGGCCGGGUUCGCCAUCUUCUCCAUCCUGGGCUUCAUGUCGCAGGAGCAGGGGGUGCCCAUUUCUGAGGUGGCUGAGUCAGGCCCCGGCUUGGCCUUCAUUGCCUACCCCCGGGCUGUGGUGAUGCUGCCCUUCUCUCCUCUCUGGGCCUGCUGCUUCUUCUUCAUGGUUGUCCUCCUGGGACUGGACAGCCAGUUUGUGUGUGUAGAAAGCCUGGUGACAGCACUGGUGGACAUGUACCCCUGUGUGUUCCGCAAGAAGAACCGGAGGGAGAGCCUCAUCCUUGGAGUGUCCCUCGUCUCCUUCCUCGUCGGGCUGGUCAUGCUCACAGAGGGUGGUAUGUACGUGUUUCAGCUCUUUGACUACUAUGCAGCCAGUGGCAUGUGCCUCCUGUUUGUGGCCAUCUUUGAGUCCCUCUGUGUGGCUUGGGUUUAUGGGGCCAAGCGCUUCUAUGACAACAUUGAAGAUAUGAUUGGGUACAGGCCAUGGCCUCUUAUCAAAUACUGUUGGCUCUUCUUCACACCAGCUGUGUGCACAGCCACCUUCCUCUUCUCCCUGAUCAAGUACACCCCGCUGACCUACAAUAAGAAGUAUACAUACCCGUGGUGGGGAGAUGCCCUGGGCUGGCUCCUGGCUCUGUCUUCCAUGGUCUGCAUCCCCGCCUGGAGCUUCUACAAACUGGGCACCCUCAAAGGCUCCUUCAGAGAGAGAAUCCGCCAGCUCGUGUGCCCAGCUGAGGACCUUCCCCAACGGAACCAAGCAGGAUCAUCUGUGCCUGCCACCCCUCAGACCUCCCUACUCACACUCACAGAAUUAGAGUCCCACUGCUAGGGGCAGGCCUCCAGAUGGCACCAUGAGCUGGUUGUGGGGCCAGCUGCAGGAGUAAGCUCUAUGGUCACUCCAUGGUGGACUGGCAUGUAGAGACAGGCUGCCCUGUCCUCGAUGUGUGUGGAUCCCAGCUGACCUUCACUGGACUUCUGGCUUCACAGAGGCAGUGAGUCUGAGAACUGUGACAUGAUCUGACUGUCUCUUGAUGGGGAAUCCCCCAGGAGAUGCUGAGAGGGGCCUGAGAGACAUUGAGAAGGGUUGCUGGAUGGAAAACUACAGAUAUGAUUCUCAUGUCACACCCCACCCCUGGGGGGAAAUUCUAAAGCACAAAGAGGAAGCACAUGUAAAGGGAAAUUUCCCUUUCUCCCCAUUACUUCCCCUCCCUCCACACCACCUGCAGCUGAAGAAACAUCUGUCUUUCAGGAGACAGUGGCUAUUCUGAUCAAAGAGCAGGGGGACGGUGCUGUGCCCACUACCACAUGGGCACACCCAGGGCAGCGAUGAGGGACAUGUUCUGGAGAAGCUCACUGGGCACACGGCACAGGGCACAUCUAUCCAACAGACACUGUUCACCACUGACAGCUGCCAAGCUGUUCCAGACAGACCCUGGCUAGAUGCUUGGUGGUGAGAGGGGACUAGAGCAUCACUAGUGCUGCCUGGGGCUGGACACUCCACCCUCCCUGCCCCUGUGUGCAGAGGACCAAUAGCAAACACUAAGAACUCCUCUUAAGCACCUGUGAUGCCCUAAGCACUCUAUCAUAUUGUCUUUAACCCUCAUGACAAAGCAGCUGUGUUAUCUACCUGUGAUAGAUGGGGAAGCUAAGGCUCAGAUCCUUACCUAGCUGACAUGACUGACAGAUGAUAGAGGAGAGGUUGAAACUUGGGUCUGUCUGACUGUAAACCUGUGUCCUUUCUACAUUAUACUUCUUGAGAGGUGCUCCGAGUGCUUUUCUAGGAAAAUCCCAAAGAGAAGUGUCGUGGUUGUGACAGCCUAGACUAGUGCCUUGAAGCCACAGAGGGCAGGUACUGAUGGAAAACUCCAGUGUGUGAUUCACCCUCCUCCCCUGCCCUCGUCAGUGAGGCCAGCUCCCCUCCCAGGAGUUUCCAGCCUGGGAGUUGGUGGCUCCUAUCUGCUGCUCCGGUAAGAGGGGGGUGUACCCUGCCUGUGCACCCCGACGCUCCUCCCUGAGAUGGAGAUAGGGCUGGGAGGGCCAUGGAGAGAAGGACCAGGACAGGAACAGCAAUUGGGAGUAGGGUGUGAGUUCCUGAGCCCCUUCUCCUGUCUGAGGGUCACCUCCUGUGCCUACUGGA
Molecule: RNA transcript, 3206 nt
Organism: Nycticebus coucang (slow loris)
Lineage: Eukaryota; Metazoa; Chordata; Mammalia; Primates; Lorisidae
Gene: SLC6A13
Gene name: solute carrier family 6 member 13
Exons: 16
Source: RefSeq, a predicted model, not a curated record